AACGAACGCUGGCGGCAUGCCUAACACAUGCAAGUCGAACGAGACCUUCGGGUCUAGUGGCGCACGGGUGCGUAACGCGUGGGAACCUGCCCUUAGGUUCGGAAUAACUCCCCGAAAGGGGUGCUAAUACCGGAUAAUGUCUUCGGACCAAAGAUUUAUCGCCUUUGGAUGGGCCCGCGUUGGAUUAGCUAGUUGGUAGGGUAAAAGCCUACCACGGCGACGAUCCAUAGCUGGUCUGAGAGGAUGAUCAGCCACACUGGGACUGAGACACGGCCCAGACUCCUCCGGGAGGCAGCAGUGGGGAAUAUUGGACAAUGGGCGAAAGCCUGAUCCAGCAAUGCCGCGUGAGUGAUGAAGGCCUUAGGGUUGUAAAGCUCUUUUACCCGGGAUGAUAAUGACAGUACCGGGAGAAUAAGCCCCGGCUAACUCCGUG
Molecule: ribosomal RNA, 433 nt
Filed under: uncultured bacterium
Lineage: Bacteria
Description: partial 16S ribosomal RNA
Rfam family: Bacterial small subunit ribosomal RNA
Source: RNAcentral